GGGGCUAUAGCUCAGUUGGUAGAGCGCUUCGUUCGCAACGAAGAGGUCAGGGGUUCGAUUCCCCUUAGCUCCACAA
RNAcentral lists this transfer RNA (76 nucleotides) under Glutamicibacter sp. BW80. Its description in RNAcentral is "tRNA-Ala". It matches the Rfam family "tRNA". Rfam says of the family: Transfer RNA (tRNA) molecules are approximately 80 nucleotides in length. The record is from RNAcentral. Lineage: Bacteria; Bacillati; Actinomycetota; Actinomycetes; Micrococcales; Micrococcaceae.